RNAcentral lists this ribosomal RNA (433 nucleotides) under uncultured bacterium. RNAcentral describes it as "partial 16S ribosomal RNA". It matches the Rfam family "Bacterial small subunit ribosomal RNA", at positions 29 to 507 of the family's 1533-position model. The record is from RNAcentral.
AACGAACGCUGGCGGCAUGCCUAACACAUGCAAGUCGAACGAUACCUUCGGGUCUAGUGGCGCACGGGUGCGUAACGCGUGGGAACCUGCCCUUAGGUUCGGAAUAACUCCCCGAAAGGGGUGCUAAUACCGGAUAAUGUCUUCGGACCAAAGAUUUAUCGCCUUUGGGUGGGCCCGCGUUGGAUUAGCUAGUUGGUAGGGUAAAAGCCUACCAAGGCGACGAUCCAUAGCUGGUCUGAGAGGAUGAUCAGCCACACUGGGACUGAGACACGGCCCAGACUCCUACGGGAGGCAGGAGUGGGGGAUAUUGGACAAUGGGCGGAAGGCUGAUCCAGCAAUGCCGCGUGAGUGAUGAAGGCCUUAGGGUUGUAAAGCUCUUUUACCCGGGAUGAUAAUGACAGUACCGGGAGAAUAAGCUCCGGCUAACUCCGUG